Molecule: small nuclear RNA, 107 nt
Organism: Aotus nancymaae (Ma's night monkey)
Lineage: Eukaryota; Metazoa; Chordata; Mammalia; Primates; Aotidae
Source: Ensembl
GUGCUUGUUUCAGCAGCACAUAGAUUAAAAUUGGAACGAUACAGAGAAGAUCAGCAUGGCCCCUGUGCAAGGAUGGCACACAAAUUCAUGAAGCGUUUCAUAAUUUU